Molecule: ribosomal RNA, 370 nt
Filed under: uncultured eukaryote
Lineage: Eukaryota
Description: partial 18S ribosomal RNA
Rfam family: Eukaryotic small subunit ribosomal RNA
Source: RNAcentral
CAAUAGCGUAUAUUAAAGUUGUUGCAGUUAAAAAGCUCGUAGUUGGACCUUGGACCUGGACAGGCGGUCCGCCUCACGGCGAGUACUGUCUUGCUGGGUCUUUCCUCUUGGUGAUCUGUUGUUUCGGCAGCAGGGAACCAGGACCUUUACUUUGAAAAAAUUAGAGUGUUCAAAGCAGGCUCGACGCCGGAAUAUAUUAGCAUGGAAUAAUAAGAUAGGACGUGCGGUUCUAUUUUGUUGGUUUUUGGAAUCGCCGUAAUGAUUAAUAGGGACAGUCGGGGGCAUUAGUACUCACAUGCUAGAGGUGAAAUUCUUGGAUUUUGUGAAGACUAACUUCUGCGAAAGCAUUUGCCAAGGAUGUUUUCAUUAA